UACGGAGGAUGCAAGCGUUAUCCGGAUUUAUUGGGCUUAAAGGGUGCGUAGGCGGGUAUAUAAGUCAGCGGUGAAAGACUGUCGCUCAACGAUAGCAUUGCCAUUGAUACUGUAAGUCUUGAGUACACUUGAGGUAGGCGGAAUGUGUAGUGUAGCGGUGAAAUGCUUAGAUAUUACACAGAACACCAAUUGCGAAGGCAGCUUACUAAGUUGUAACUGACGCUGAGGCACGAAGGCGUGGGGAU
RNAcentral lists this ribosomal RNA (245 nucleotides) under uncultured bacterium. Its description in RNAcentral is "partial 16S ribosomal RNA". It matches the Rfam family "Bacterial small subunit ribosomal RNA", at positions 524 to 768 of the family's 1533-position model. The record is from RNAcentral.